This is a non-coding RNA of Callithrix jacchus (white-tufted-ear marmoset), 198 nucleotides long. Lineage: Eukaryota; Metazoa; Chordata; Mammalia; Primates; Cebidae. The record is from Rfam.
GCAGAUGAACCCGGGUGGCCCACAGUGCACAGGGAAGAGGGCGGGGCUAGACGCGGCCUUGAUAACUACUAGAGCGCCUCGGGCUGUGCGGCUCGAGACUACAUUUCCCAGGGGGCCUGGCGCAGAGCGGGCCGGAAAGAGAGCGCCUCCGAUCCAGUGCGCAGGUGCAGGAGCCAUAUCUGGUUAUAUAAAGGAGGU